GUUAGGGCAAAAUUAGCAAGGCCAUUACUCCUAGAUGCCAAACUCUCGGCACAGAGAGCAUUACAGGAAACAUGCCAGAAAUGCCACGAAGAGGAGGCAGUUAUUCGGUGCCUUGAGUGUGUCCCACUGGACUUUGAGUACCUCUGUGGCAAGUGUGACAUAGAGGUCCACAGGAGGCAUGUCUUCCAUGGCAGGGUGGCAAUAUUCCAUGGCUAUCUGGAGCCUAUUCCCCCUACAAAGGCAGUGGUGGUGGAUGGGAAUGGCCAGCCUCAUUUUUCCGAGCAGGUAUGUCAGUUGCCAAUGCCUGCCCAAAGGGUAAUAUGUGGUUGCACUGAAGAGGCUGAGGUUACCACUGGGAGGCAUAUUGCAGUGGUCACUAUAAAUGGACGAUACGAGAUGUGUUUACCCCGAAAGGUCUGCUCUUGCUGCACAACAGAAUGGACUCCAGGGGUAAAGGACCUUCUACAGUAUAAUUACUGGCCAAGCACUA
Molecule: long non-coding RNA, 490 nt
Organism: Gadus morhua (Atlantic cod)
Lineage: Eukaryota; Metazoa; Chordata; Actinopteri; Gadiformes; Gadidae
Exons: 3
Source: RefSeq, a predicted model, not a curated record